This 564-nucleotide unclassified non-coding RNA is filed under the name Proteus mirabilis. RNAcentral describes it as "partial 16S-23S ribosomal RNA intergenic spacer". The stretch from base 282 to 354 matches the Rfam family "tRNA". The record is from RNAcentral. Lineage: Bacteria; Pseudomonadati; Pseudomonadota; Gammaproteobacteria; Enterobacterales; Morganellaceae.
CCUAAGAGAUACGUGUUAUGUGAAGUGCUCACACAGAUUGUCUGAUGAAGAACGAGCAGAGAUACCGGUAUAGGCUUGUAGCUCAGGUGGUUAGAGCGCACCCCUGAUAAGGGUGAGGUCGGUGGUUCAAGUCCACUCAGGCCUACCACUUUUCCUUUAUGCUGUGUUGUGAAGCAACUCGUUUACAUUAAGUAAACUUCGUUACUCCACGCCUUGCCUAAAGAAAAAGCUUCUUAUUAUAAGAAGAAAAAGGAGUGGUUAUACGGGUAUUAAAAUAUUAUGGGGCUAUAGCUCAGCUGGGAGAGCGCCUGCCUUGCACGCAGGAGGUCAGCGGUUCGAUCCCGCUUAGCUCCACCAUAAUCUCUUGAAUAUAAAACAAUGAUUCAGAGUAUAUUAGGAAUAGUAUACUGUGAAUUAUUAUGCUCUUUAACAAUCUGGAACAAGCUGAAAAAUUGAAAACAAAUCAAUAUAUCAACGAGGUAUAUUGGUGAGUCUCUCAAAAUCUCAAACCUUAAAGUUUGUCACGCAAAGUUUAUCUUUGAAAAAGACACUUUCGGGUUGUGA